AUACGGAGGCUGCAAGCGUUAAUCGGAAUUACUGGGCGUAAAGCGUACGUAGGCGGUGAGUUAAGUUAGAUGUGAAAGCCCCGGGCUCAACCUGGGAACUGCAUUUAAAACUGGCUCACUAGAGUUGAGUAGAGGGGAGUGGAAUUUCAGGUGUAGCGGUGAAAUGCGUAGAGAUCUGAAGGAACACCAGUGGCGAAGGCGACUCCCUGGACUCGAACUGACGCUGAGGUACGAAAGCGUGGGUAGCAAACGGGAUUAGAAACCCUAGUAGUCC
Molecule: ribosomal RNA, 274 nt
Filed under: uncultured bacterium
Lineage: Bacteria
Description: partial 16S ribosomal RNA
Rfam family: Bacterial small subunit ribosomal RNA
Source: RNAcentral